RNAcentral lists this ribosomal RNA (495 nucleotides) under uncultured Glomeromycotina. Its description in RNAcentral is "partial small subunit ribosomal RNA". It matches the Rfam family "Eukaryotic small subunit ribosomal RNA", at positions 591 to 1092 of the family's 1831-position model. Lineage: Eukaryota; Fungi; Glomeromycota. The record is from RNAcentral.
CCAAUAGCGUAUAUUAAAGUUGUUGCAGUUAAAAAGCUCGUAGUUGAAUUUCGGGGUUCUACCGUUGGUCGGGCUUUGUCUGUACUGGCGUGUAGAAUUUCUACCUUCUGGAGAACCAUCAUGUUAUUAAUUUAACGUGGUGGGAAACCAGGACCUUUACCUUGAAAAAAUUAGAGUGUUCAAAGCAGGCUUAUGUCUGAAUUCAUUAGCAUGGAAUAAUAGAAUAGGACGGUGGUCCUGUUUUGUUGGUUUCUGAAUCACCGUAAUGAUUAAUAGGGAUAGUUGGGGGCAUUAGUAUUCAAUUGUCAGAGGUGAAAUUCUUGGAUUUAUUGAAGACUAACUUCUGCGAAAGCAUUUGCCAAGGAUGUUUUCAUUAAUCAAGAACGAAAGUUAGGGGAUCGAAGACGAUCAGAUACCGUCGUAGUCUUAACCAUAAACUAUGCCGACUAGGGAUCGGACGAUGUUAAUUUUUCUUGACUCGUUCGGCGCCUUACG